Molecule: ribosomal RNA, 468 nt
Filed under: uncultured bacterium
Lineage: Bacteria
Description: partial 16S ribosomal RNA
Rfam family: Bacterial small subunit ribosomal RNA
Source: RNAcentral
GACGAACGCUGGCGGCGCGCCUAACACAUGCAAGUCGAACGGAGCUGAGAGAAGCUUGCUUUUCUUAGCUUAGUGGCGAACGGGUGAGUAACGCGUGAGUAACCUGCCUUGGAGUGGGGGACAACAGUUGGAAACGACUGCUAAUACCGCAUAAGCCCACGAUCCGGCAUCGGAUUGAGGGAAAAGGAUUUAUUCGCUUCAGGAUGGACUCGCAUCCAAUUAGCUAGAUGGUGAGGUAACGGCCCACCAAGGCGACGAUUGGUAGCCGGACUGAGAGGUUGAACGGCCGCAUUGGGACUGAGGCACGGCCCAGACUCCUACGGGGGGCAGCAGUGGGGGAUAUUGCACAAUGGGGGAAACCCUGAUGCAGCGACGCCGCGUGGAGGAAGAAGGUUUUCGGAUUGUAAACUCCUGUCGUUAGGGACGAUAAUGACGGUACCUAACAAGAAAGCACCGGCUAACUACGUG